AUAGAUAUUAAUAUUAAUUUUAAGAGAAAUGAUUCGGUACUUUAAAAAAAUAAAAAAAAAAGAAGAUCUUAACCAUUGAUUAAUAGAGGAUAAAAAUGUAACUUUAAUACUUAGCAGGUAAAAGAAUUAUUUUAUUCAAGGUUAGUUUGGUAAUUAAAUAAUACAAUAUUUAAAGAAACUUUUAAUUGAGGUCCUAAAUUUAUGCAUUAAUU
Molecule: long non-coding RNA, 212 nt
Filed under: Ananas comosus (pineapple)
Lineage: Eukaryota; Viridiplantae; Streptophyta; Magnoliopsida; Poales; Bromeliaceae
Description: long non-coding RNA (ACOM_LNC022926)
Source: RNAcentral